GAUGAACGCUGGCGGCGUGCCUAAUACAUGCCAGUCGAGCGAACGGACGAGAAGUUUGCUUCUCUGAUGUUAGCGGCGGACGGGCGAGUAACACGUGGAUAACCUACCUAUAAGACUGGGAUAACUUCGGGAAACCGGAGCUAAUACCGGAUAAUAUUUUGAACCGCAUGGUUCAUAAGUGAAAGACGGUCUUUCUGUCACUUAUAGAUGGUUCCGCGCUGCAUUAGCUAGUUGGUAAGGUAACGGCUUACCAAGGCAACGAUGCAUAACCGACCUGAAAGGGUACACGACCACACUGGAGCUGAGACACGGUCCAGACUCCUACGGGAGGCAGCAGUAGGGAAUCUUCCGCAAUGGGCGAAAGCCUGACGGAGCAACACCGCGUGGAUGAUGAAGGUCUUCGGAUCGUAAAGCUCUGCUGUUAGGGAAGAGCAUAUGUGUCAGUAGCUGUGCAAAUAUGGACGGUACCUAAUCAAGAAGCCACGGCUAACUACGUG
Molecule: ribosomal RNA, 497 nt
Filed under: uncultured bacterium
Lineage: Bacteria
Description: partial 16S ribosomal RNA
Rfam family: Bacterial small subunit ribosomal RNA
Source: RNAcentral